Long non-coding RNA from Stegodyphus dumicola, 475 nucleotides. NCBI's taxonomy places the organism in Eukaryota, Metazoa, Arthropoda, Arachnida, Araneae, Eresidae. The record is from RefSeq and is a predicted model, not a curated record.
UUUCUAGAGAUCUAGGAACUCUCAAAACUUAUAUAAUUUAAUGGUAUCCACUUCUACGCUGUACGCCGUGUUGGUAUACGUUAAGCUUCAGAAUAACAAUCUGCUUCCCAAAAGAGGAUCAUAUUUUAUAAACUGCUAUUCAGGAUGAAGGAAACAGGGCCGGAAAACGUGAGAAAUCAGCGAUACCUCCUCCCCGGAAUUCGAACUGCAGACCUCCCGACUGCUAGCCGGACAUGCUUCCAACUACGCCACGAAGGCACGUGGUAGGGAGGGAAAAAGUAUCUUAAAGUUUCACCCAAGAAACAUGAAGAGUGUCCAAUGUUCUCCCCAGGACUCAAACUCCGGACCUUUCGACUGCUGACCAGAAGCGGUUUCCCCCAUGGAAAGCAUCCGGUAAGGAGAGACAAUAUCCUUACAAGUAUUUUCUAUAUGCGAAAAGUCGAAUCUUCUUUCCUUCGAGAUAGAAAGGUGCAUC